UAUGUGAUCGUCUCUCGCAUAUCAAUAAGCGGAGGAAAAGAAACUAACAAGGAUUCCCCUAGUAACGGCGAGUGAAGCGGGAAGAGCUCAAAUUUGAAAUCUUAAAGGGUUUCCCUUUACGAAUUGUAGUUUAAAGAAGUGUUUUCUGUUGAGGUUUUGGUAAAAGUUCUUUGGAAUAGGACAUCAUAGAGGGUGAGAAUCCCGUAUUUGACCUUUACUUUCAACUUUGUGAUACACUUUCAAAGAGUCGGAUUGUUUGGGAUGCAGUCCAAAAUGGGUGGUAAAUUUCAUCUAAAGCUAAAUAUUGGCGAGAGACCGGAUAGCGAACAAGUACCGUGAGGGAAAGAUGAAAAGAACUUUGAAAAGAGAGUUAAACAGUACGUGAAAUUGUCAAAAGGGAAGCAUUUGACACCAGUGUUGUUUUUCUGAAAAUCAAUUAAAGAACUGUUUAUGCUAAGCUGUUUAGACUUUAUCAGCUAAUCUGUUUAGUUUUGAGCUUUUCCUUAAUGCACUUUUCAGUUAACAAGUCAACAUCAAUUUCUUUUGCUGUAAAAAAGCUUGAGGAAGGUGGCUUGAGAUUCGUCUUAAGUGUUUAUAGCCUCUUGCCUAUGCAGUCGGAGAGAUUGAGGUCUGCAGCGUAGAUCCUUCGGGGCUAAAUGCAUUUGUGCUAAGUUAUAGCAUUUUAUAGACAACUUGUUGACUAUGAUUUGUCUUGUAGCUUACUCGCUUAUGUUAUUUUACCUACGCUUAGGAUGUUGAUCUACAGAGCGAGAGU
RNAcentral lists this ribosomal RNA (775 nucleotides) under uncultured Neocallimastigales. RNAcentral describes it as "partial large subunit ribosomal RNA". It matches the Rfam family "Eukaryotic large subunit ribosomal RNA", at positions 24 to 640 of the family's 3401-position model. Lineage: Eukaryota; Fungi; Neocallimastigomycota; Neocallimastigomycetes; Neocallimastigales. The record is from RNAcentral.